Molecule: ribosomal RNA, 505 nt
Filed under: uncultured bacterium
Lineage: Bacteria
Description: partial 16S ribosomal RNA
Rfam family: Bacterial small subunit ribosomal RNA
Source: RNAcentral
GAUGAACGCUGGCGGCGUGCUUAACACAUGCAAGUCGAACGGAACUACUCCAAUGAGAGUCCUCGGAAAGGAGUGGGUGUCGGGUAGUGGCGGACGGGUGAGUAACGCGUGGGUAACCUGCCCUAUACAGGGGGAUAACAGUUGGAAACGACUGUUAAUACAGCCUAAGGGCACAGGAGCGCAUGCUCCGGUGGGAAACACUCCGGGGGGAUAGGACGGAGCCGCGCCUGAUUAGCUGGUUGGCGGGGUAACGGCGCACCAAGGCGACGAUGACUAGCCGACCUGAGGUGGUGAUCGGCCACACUGGGACUGAGACACGGUCCAGACUCCUACGGGAGGCAGCAGUAGGGAAUCUUCCGCAAUGGGCGAAAGCCUGGCGGAGCAACGCCGCGUGAGUGAUGAAGGUCUUCGGAUCGUAAAACUCUGUUAUUAGGGAAGAACAUAUGUGUAAGUAACUGUGCACAUCUUGACGGUACCUAAUCAGAAAGCCACGGCUAACUACGUG